RNAcentral lists this ribosomal RNA (540 nucleotides) under uncultured bacterium. RNAcentral describes it as "bacterial SSU rRNA". It matches the Rfam family "Bacterial small subunit ribosomal RNA", at positions 840 to 1376 of the family's 1533-position model. The record is from RNAcentral.
UCCGCGCCGUAGCUAACGCAUUAAGUGCCCCGCCUGGGGAGUACGGCCGCAAGGCUAAAACUCAAAGGAAUUGACGGGGGCCCGCACAAGCGGCGGAGCAUGCGGAUUAAUUCGAUGCAACGCGAAGAACCUUACCAAGGCUUGACAUGUGCCGGUCGGCUCCGGAGACGGGGUUUCCUCCUUGUGGGGCCGGUUCACAGGUGGUGCAUGGUUGUCGUCAGCUCGUGUCGUGAGAUGUUGGGUUAAGUCCCGCAACGAGCGCAACCCUUGUCUCGUGUUGCCAGCACGUUGUGGUGGGGACUCGCGGGAGACUGCCGGGGUCAACUCGGAGGAAGGUGGGGAUGACGUCAAAUCAUCAUGCCCCUUAUGUCUUGGGCUUCACGCAUGCUACAAUGGCCGGUACAGAGGGCUGCGAUACUGUGAGGUGGAGCGAAUCCCUUAAAGCCGGUCUCAGUUCGGAUCGGUGUCUGCAACUCGACACCGUGAAGUUGGAGUCGCUAGUAAUCGCAGAUCAGCAACGCUGCGGUGAAUACGUUCUCG